This is a long non-coding RNA of Tachysurus fulvidraco (yellow catfish), 998 nucleotides long. RefSeq lists it as uncharacterized. The transcript is spliced from 3 exons. NCBI's taxonomy places the organism in Eukaryota, Metazoa, Chordata, Actinopteri, Siluriformes, Bagridae. The record is from RefSeq and is a predicted model, not a curated record.
UUUAUCCAUAGCCAUGUAGCGAAGUCUCCAUCAGUGUCUGGUUCACUAGAACACAAACUAAAAACGCAUCGAUCUAAAAACUCUUAAGUGGGAAUAUAGUGUUUUGAAUGUAUAAAUAAACAGCACUAGUUUAGGUAUUUCAGGAAGAGGAAAACGUCGUACGAAGACAGGCAGAGACCCUGAGAAAUGGUGGGUUCAGUCAAGCGGUGAUACAAGAUCUGAUGGAGAAACGUGAGCAAAGAUAACGAAAAGGAAAAGUGCGGCUGCAGCGGCUAAGCCUGAGCUGAAGAGGUUUGGACCAUCAAAGUGGAUUUGAAGCAAACUGCAGAACAGGAAUUAGUAUAAAACACCAACCAAAAUGAGGAACCAGACUCAGUGAACAAGCUAUGCUCUGUUUUUUUUAAAGAGGGCGUUUUUCCAAGACCUCCAGAAACACGCCCACUUUACGUCGUGGUAACGAAACCCCUGGGAUUUAGCGAAUGCUGAACAAGUUGGAGAACCGAACGGAUUCCAAAUCUGUGCUUAUGGAAUAUUAAUGUGUUCACUGUGGUGUGGUUUUACUGGCACAGCUACUCCGUCAUAACAGAGAUAACAGUAGAAUGAUGGCUGUAGUAAUACGCAGCAAUAAACAUGUCAAUAAUACACUGUGGUUCAGUCCAUUUAUUGUUGCCAUAAAGAAUACUAUCAAUAACACACUGGAGUGUGUAUAAUAACAUCGAUAACACACUGGACUGCUCCACACAGCCCUGAACGCCUGAGGGAACAAAGGGAAAGUUCAACACAAGGGCCGUUUUAUUAAAAAUUGACAUGUUGUGAUGGAGGAGUUUCUACAGCCUGAGGUGACUGAUGGAAGACAGGAAGUGCUCGACAAAAACAGACGAGUAUUACCACGAGCGCUGUGUCUCUGUGGGUGUACUGGAUCUUAAGAAACAAUAGUUCAGAUAAACAACACAGCCUAAUGUGCAUAAGCAGACAUUUUAAACAUAUACAGUACCGAC